This 89-nucleotide transfer RNA is filed under the name Rhizoctonia solani. RNAcentral describes it as "tRNA-Val". It matches the Rfam family "tRNA". From Rfam's summary of the family: Transfer RNA (tRNA) molecules are approximately 80 nucleotides in length. Lineage: Eukaryota; Fungi; Basidiomycota; Agaricomycetes; Cantharellales; Ceratobasidiaceae. The record is from RNAcentral.
GGUCGCAUAGUCUAGUGGUUAUGAUAUCUGCUUUACAUAGCUGUUAUGUAACUCGCAGAGGGUCGCAAGUUCGAUCCUUGCUGCGACCA